CAGUAGCCACGGUAAUGCGUAGGGUGCGAGCGUUAAUCGGAAUUACUGGGCGUAAAGCGUGCGCAGGCGGUUAUAUAAGACAGAUGUGAAAUCCCCGGGCUCAACCUGGGACCUGCAUUUGUGACUGUAUAGCUAGAGUACGGUAGAGGGGGAUGGAAUUCCGCGUGUAGCAGUGAAAUGCGUAGAUAUGCGGAGGAACACCGAUGGCGAAGGCAAUCCCCUGGACCUGUACUGACGCUCAUGCACGAAAGCGUGGGGAGCAAACAGGAUUAGAUACCCGGGUAGUCCCUGUCUCUUAUAC
Molecule: ribosomal RNA, 301 nt
Filed under: uncultured bacterium
Lineage: Bacteria
Description: partial 16S ribosomal RNA
Rfam family: Bacterial small subunit ribosomal RNA
Source: RNAcentral